GGUACACUUUAUUUAUUUAUUUGUUUUUUAAAUAACUUUUUAUUGACAGAGCCCAUGCCAGGGUAAUUUUUUACAACAUUAUCCCUUGUACUCACUUCUGUUCCAAUUUUUCCCCUCCUUCCUUCUACCCCCUCCCCCAGAUGGCAAGCAGUCCUAUACACAAACAUUCACUUUUUUAAAUUUCUUCUUUCUACCAACCCUUGUCUUACUCAUUGAAAAGGCAGGAAAUAUGAUAUCAAUCCUACAUGUGAAAUCAUGCAAAAUAUAUUUCCAUAUGAGCCAUACACAACACUGUGCUAAGUCCUAGAGAUACAAAGAAAGGCAAAAAGCAGGACAAUUUUGUGGCUAUUCUGUUCAACUUAAUAUGUACUUUUAAAAAAAUGUACAUGGGGCAGUUAAGGGCCCUCCAGUAGAUAGAGCACUAGAUAGAGAAGGACCUGAGUUCAAAUUGACCAAGACACUUAACGCGUACUAGCUAUGUGACUCUGGUCAAGUCACUUGAACCCAAUUGACUCAUUAAAAAAAAAAAAAAGUAUACAUAACAGAUUCAUGGUUUUACAUAUCAUUCACUGGGUUGAAAUGCCUGUUUAUUCAUGAAGGUUAAGUUUGUAGUAAAAAGGAAAAAUUAAGGGAAACUGCUUUGUCUGUUCUAGCAAUCAGGAAGGAGGCAAGACAAGGAAAAUCCUAAGGGGAUUUGCACCUAGUCCAAGGGACAGAAAAGGAAGUGGGAGCUAAUCUACUUUCUCCGGGGGGCAUAGCUGGGUAUGCCCUUGGUCCAUUAUCCCACUGAUCCUCACAACAAUCCUGAGAGGUAGGUACCAUGGGAGGAUUAGCCUAACGUUCCAGGUGAGAAGAAAAGGGAUCUGUAACAAAAUAUGAGCUGGCUCAGAAAGCGUGGGAUUCUGUUCUGGGCACCACACGUGGAGACAUUGAUAAACUAGAGCACCUUUAAAGGAGGUUGGCAACUGCGCUUUUGGAGGGCUGGGAGUCCUUGCCAGAUGACGAUGGGUCAAAGGAACUGCAGGUGUUCAGCUGAAGAAGGCGAGAGUUCAGGGUGACAGUGGGUAUGAUCAACCAGUCAAUUAACAAACAUUAAAGUUUUUUACAACAACCAAAUGAAAUGAGCAUUUCCACAUAAUGUGACAGAAAAAAGAGGGGACUGUGGUUCUCUUUUACAUACAGCCUGCUUUUAAAAAAAAUACUAUAUGAUAAGUAUAUAAUAAACAUAAAUAAGCAUAGGUAACAAAUAAAUGUAGGCAUCUAGGUAGCACAGCAGAUAGAGCACUGGCCUUGGAGUCAGGGAGACUCAUUAUCAUGACUUCAAAUGUGGCUUCAGAUACUACCUAAGCAACCUGAGAUAGUCACUUAACUUUGUUUGCCUCAGUUUCCUCAUCUGUAAAAUGAGCUGUAGAAGGGAAUGGCAAACCACUCCAAAAUUUUUGUCAAGAAAACCCCAAAAUGGGGUCACAAAGAGUUGGACACAACUGAAAUGAGUGAAUAAUAAGCACAAAACAUAUAAAUAUAUAUUCCAAUGUAAACAAAUUCAACAUUUAGCUUUUAAAGCUCUCCUACUUGUCAGAUAUUCAUUCUAGGCAUUUUAAAAAGAGGGUUUAAUGGCAGUCUUUUCUUUCUUUCCUUUUUUCUUCUCUGUUUUCUCUCCCUAUUUUUUCUUUCUGCUUCUCUCCUCCCUCCACCUCUCUCCUUUCCUUCCUUCCUUCUCUCUUUCUCUCUCUCCAUCCCUUCUCCCUUUCUCUGUCUCUCUCUCCAUCCCUCCUUCCCUCCCCCUUUUCUCUUUCUGUCUCUGUCUCUCUCUCUCACAUACACUUUUACUUUCAAGCUUGGUAGAGACUACUAGAAUGGAUGUGGCUCUAGAGAACCAAGAGUCACCUUUGUAACACAAUCAAUAAUCAAUCAACAUUUAUUAAGUGACUACUAGGUGCUGUAUUGAGUUCUGGGGACACAAAAAGAGACAAAAGUCAGUUCCUAUCCUUAAAGAGCUUACAAUAGAAUGCAGAAGAGCUCACACAGUGAAUCCUGGGGUAGCUUCAGCCAAAAUAACCACAUAAGUGGUUGAUCUCCCUGGCAGGGAGAAUGGGGGGGGGGGGGGCAGACAAAACAUUUAACACUGAAACUGUCUCCUCUCUCUGUUAUAACUCCUAAGGAACCAAGUACUGUGUGUAAUCAUGCAAAGCUAAAGCACUCCUUAGCCAAGUUCUAUCACUUCACUGGAUCUCAGUUUCCUCACCUAUAAAACUGAGGAGCUCAGCUAGAGGGGCUCUAAAGUCCUUCUAGAUCAAAGUCUCCUCUGAUAAACCUGAAUCCUAUGAUGAUUAUGAAAUCCUAUGAUGGCUGCCCUCGGUCACAAGAGCAUUAUCUCAGAAACUUUGGGUCACUUCCUCUUUCUUUCUCCUUGGCAUACCCACAUCCAGAGAAAGAACUGUGGAGACUGAAUGCAGAUUGAAGCAUAGGGUGUUCCCUUCUUUUUUGUUUUUUCUUUCUUGUGAUUUUUCCCUUUUGUUCUGAUUUUUCUUUCACAACAUGGAAAUAUGUUUAACGUGAUUGUACAUGUAUAACCCAUAUCAGAUUGCUUGCUGUCUUGGGGAAGGGGGAAGGAAGGGAGGUAGCAAGAAAAAUCUGGAACUCCAAAUCUUACAAAAAUGAAAACUAUCUUUACAUGUGAGUGGAAAAAAUACUAUUAAGUGGAAAACAACAACAACAAAAAACAAUAAAAAACAAAUGACUUGGUGUCUCACCUGGCUACCACCUGCUAGUCCCAUUAUCAACAGUUGGUACAGCUGCAUCCAAGGCUGAAUAGGGCCUGUUUAUUUAUUCUUUCUAAUCAAAACAUUUUUCCCUUAGGUGUUCUUGUAACUCGGCUCAAUUUACCCACCACAUGCCCUUCCUACUUUACAUUAAAGCCCUUCUAUUUUCUAACUUAACCUGUGAUUUUCCCUGACCCUCCCAUUCUUGGAUUCUUAGAGCUGGGAGGGACCUUCAACAUCUUGUUUCGCCUUACAAAGGGAGAAACUGAGGCCCUGUGAGUAUUCCCUGAACUUCCAGCCUGGGAAAAAUAAGGAAACUCUGUCUUUAAAAAAAAAAAAUAAAAGUAAGCUCCCAGUCACUGGAGUUAUUAAGCAGAAGCUGAAUGGAUGGUGGAUAGAAAACGUCCUGAAUUUGGACUCAGAAUUUCAGUUUCUAGAUCUCUUUUCUGCUACUUCUUACCUCUGUGAUGUUGACCAAAUCACUAUAUCUUUCUGAACCCUACCUAGUGUCUCUUUCUACAAAAUUAAAGGGAUUGGAUUAGACAGCUUUCAAAGUCCAAAUCAUAGAGUAUGUUAGGAUAAGUGAUCAUGUCACUUAGCUAGUCUCUUCCUUACUACCUCUUCAAUAAAGGAGACCCCACUGUCUUUCAAGGGGAAGCUAGAAAGAUAGAAAGAUUUUUUUCUAAUGGGAGGUCAUGAUUUUGUGGAAAAGUCAAGACUGGAACCCAAACUCUCAGAACAGGGUCCUCUGCUCUGCACCAUGUUGCCAGCCUACAGUUCUUGCAACACUUUAUUAGGCUGGUAAGAAACAGGGUCAAUUGCCAGGAAACUGCUUUGAUAGCAGUCAAACUAGCAAGCAUUUAACAAAUAUUUGUUCCAUAAAUAUAUGUGCCAGGCACUGCACUACACAAUAUAGAGAACACAAGGAUGAAAUAGAGACAAGAAGUCUUAGGAACAACAGUACUGUCUCUUCCUAGCCCUCCAGCCUAGCCCCCCUAACCAUCUCUAAGGGGAAAUAAUCUUUGCAGGGAAAGGGUCUGUCACCACCUUUACCAAAGAGUGAAAACUAACUUCCAUCGGGAGGAAGGCAACCCCAUGACUCCCAGGCUAUUAUCCCUACAGCCAUCACCAAGGGAGCAAUGUCCCCCUUCAUCCCCACGACAACCACCAACUCUGGAUCAGUUACAGCCUUAUGUAUAUUAUAUCAUUUGAUCAUGGUACCUUUCUCUUUGUCUUUGGCAUUAAAGUAUAUGACUGACAUAUAGUGUAUCACUGGGUCAGAGGCUACAUACUAUUCAAGAUAACUGGAUCCAAAUUCACAGCUCAACCAUUAGCAUACUACUUUGCCUAUCAUCCCACAGCCCGUCCAACAUUCACCAUUUUUAUCUUCUGUUUUCUUUGCCAAUCUUAUCGGAUUCAGGUGAAAUCUUGCAAUUGUUUUACUUUUCAUUUUUCUUAUUACUUAUCAGGGGGAACAUUCUUUCAUAUGGCUGUUAAUAGUUUGAAUUUCUUCUUUUGAAAGAUUUCCAUUGUUUUGCUAUUCUACUACCAGACAGCAACUUGUAUAAAUCAUGAGUCACUAUUAGCUAAUAGACUGGCCUUAGAGUUGGUAAUGACUUAGAGGUGGGUUUACAGCUAAUCUCUGGAUUGCCUUCUCUACUCUUGAACAUUAUGUUAGUUUCUUUUUUUAAAAGUUUUAUUUUCAAAAUACAGGCAAAGAUAGUUUUCAACAUUCACCCUUGCAAAACCUUGUGUUCCACCCUCAAAAGGAGGUCAUGAAGAAUCAGACAUGACCUAAAUUACUCAAUAACAACAAUUUCUUGACUCUAAGACUGACUAUUUGUCUAAUAUACUGUCUCUUAAAAUAAAGAUUACCAUAAAAAAUUUAAAAAAACUUUGUGUUCCAUAUUUUUCUCUUUCCCUACUUUGUCCCUCCCUUAGUCAGCAAAUAAUCCAAUAUAGGUUAAACAUGUUGAACAUUAUAUCAUUACAGAGAGAUUAUAAUCAAAUAUAAAUCUUGAGGGUGGGGAAAAUUUAUUUUUAUCAUUGUAUCUCUAAUUCCUAGUACACAGUAGGUGCUUAAUAAAUGCUUGUUUAUUGGCCUGCUUUGGGAAAUGGUACUUCCAUAUAGGGAGUUCUUUACAUGAAUGGAAUCAUAGAUCUGAACAAUGCAUGGACCCAAAAAAGCCAAUCUGUAACAAAAAUCACUGAGAACUCCAAGCAUAAUUAAAUGCGUCCAAGAUUUUCCUCACAAUUAGGGAUUGACCCCCCCAGCCCUUUGAGAGCUAACUACUUUUAUACACUUGGAAGAGCACUAAAAAUAGAAAGAGGAAUUACAAUUCACUGAUUGGUCAAUUCCAGAAGUGGCAAAAUCUUAUAGAAGGCUAAAGGUAAUGUCCAUCAAUUAUAAUGACUUUGUCAACAGACCUUCCACAGAUCAUCGACUUCAAGUCAUCUUAGCAGGGGCUUUCCAAAAGUCCCUUUCAACUUUAUCUCAGGACUUUCCACAGGUCAUAAGACCCUAAUGUUUGACCAUCAAUAUCUUAAGGUCCAAAGAAAUUGGGUUGGAAGCAAAGGUCUCAAGGAAGUAGAUGGCAGUGAUUCAUAGGGAUGAGAGGUAUUAUUCCAGCAAAUGAACCUUAUUACAUUUCUAAUUAAUAUGAUGAAUUUAGCCAAUAUAUGUAAUAUAAUCAUUAAUACAUUGAUUAAUUAUUUAUAAUUCUUAUUGUAACAGCAUUAACAUACAUAACUAACUUUAACUUAAUCCUAUUCUGUUUAAUUCACUAAUACUGAUACCCAUCAAAUAAAAAUAAAUUGAAUAGGGAUUAAUUUGAGCAAGGGGAUCAAAAUUAUUAUCCCAAAUAACAAUGAAGUGCUCUAAUAAAUAUUAUAUUUUAUUAUUAUAACAGAUAAAGAAAUUAAGCCCAUAUUGGGAGAUAAACUCAUUGAAGGUCAGACAAGUUGUGCAUCUGAACUUGAACUGGCUCCAAAUUCGACAUUGUUUAUACCACACCUUCCCUCCAUCCUAUGGCUGGCUAUCCCUGGAGACAAAGAGCUCAUUUCUUGCCUCAUCAUUUUGCCCUCUUAUUUGCCUUGAUUGCCAUGACCUAUUUUGAUCCUAUUCAAGUUGUGGAGUUUCCCCAGUUUACCAAAGAAGCGGUUUUUUUCAAAAUCCAUAAGACCCUUCCUCUACAAAAGACUGGUCUUCCAUCUGUUAAAGAAAGCCCCUUUUCCAACCCUUUAAUACCUGUAACUUAGCCUGCCAAGAUGUCAGGGGCUUUCCAAUUCUUGUCACUUUAGAAUCUGCUUUUUUGUUUUCAAACUGAAACCUAAGCCAUUUCUGACUCAGGCUGGCUCUUUUCAAUAGCCAACACUUAGAUAUUUGUUUCCUGCCACAUGCUCUGGGGGCUCUCCCAGGGAGCAGAUGGCAGCCUAAUUACCUUCCAUGUUGGCCAAAGGGCAAUGGGAGCUAGAGCGGGUCAUUGGUAAUCAUUGGACGGCUGUGAUUCUAUCUCAGACCCUCUUUCUGAGACGUUCAGGCCCCUCGCCCAAGGUGCUGCUACCUUCCAUCUGUACCCCAUCAUCCAUCUGUACACCAGCUUCCAGGUAACAGAAUCAGUUCGCGCACAUUUGUUAUCUCAUCAGGGUGGAAGAGCAAAGAUUCUGAUAAUUUUCUUUUUUGGAAAAAAAAACUAAUUAAUUUCAUUAAAUUUUAUAUAUUCAAUCAACAAAAUUCUACCAUUUCUCCCUCCCAAGUCCUUUUCCCCAUUUAGAAAGAAAACAAAAGCCCUGUUAUAAACAAAAGAGUCGAAGGGAAAAAAAUCCCAAUCUACACUGUAAUUCUUCCCCUCUCUAUCCAAAGGUGGGUAACAUGUUUCAGCAUGUGUCCUCAUUCAAAUAUUUUUACAAAUGAAGAAGCCAGUGCUAUAACAAGAGUAGGGCGAUGGGGAUUUUCCCCCAGGGCACUAAAAUUGGUGAAAAUAGAAUUUUAAUACCUGCUCUGAUUCUGUCAUUGUGGUCUAGCUUUCAUUUUUAAGAAAAGCAUAAGAGGCUUUGACAAAGCCUUUGUAAAGAUGUAGGCGGAACAUGUGCAAAAAUGUUUGUAGCGGCUUUUUAUGGUAGCAAAGAAUUAGCAAAUGAAUAGAUGCCCAUCAAUUGGGGAACGGCUGAAUAAAUUAUGGUAUAUGAAAGCAAUGGAAUAUUGCCGUUCUAUAAAAAGUGAUGAACAAGCUGAUUUAGAAAGGCCUGGAAAGAUUUACAUGAAUGGACCCUGAGUGAAACAAGCAGAACCAGGAAUACAUUAUGUACAAUAACAAGAUUGCGUGAUGAUAGAUCAUAAAAGACUCAGUUCUCCUCAGUGGUUCAGUGAUACAAGGAAAUCCCAAUAAACUUUGGAAGGAAAUGCCAUGUGCACCCAGAGGGAGAAUUAUGGACACUGAAUGCAAAUCAACACAAGCUAUGUUUGCUUUUUUUUCUUUUUCUUCUGUUUUUUUUUUCCUCUCAUGAUUUUCCCCCUUUGUUCUGAUUUUUUUUUCCCUAACAUGAUUCAUAAGGAAAUUUGUUUUUAAAAAAUGAAUAUACAGGUAUAACCAGGGGAAAAAAAAGAAAUUUAAAAAAAGGUGUAGGUAGAGCCAAAGAGCCCCCACCUGUAAUAGAAAAGAGGGUCUCACAUAUAGAGAAAGCAUAGAAAGUAAGAUUGGUCUCUUCCAUGUUCCCUCUUGAAACUGUAAGCCAGAAACACCCAAAGCAAUUCACUGCUUGAAAAGUCCUUAAAAAGACUGUCACACCAGGAGUCCCCUGGUUCUUUCCCAGUUCUGCCCCAUCCUUCUGCAGGAAAGAAUCUUCAUCUUCACUAAUAAUAAUAAUAAUAAUUCACAGCAAUGAAUUUUGGAACAGGAAUCACACUUCUGCUGAGCUGAUCUACUUACUCCAACCAAGAGCUUCAGAACCUUGUUCUUGAAGAAGCCACGAUGAUGAUUCUAUGAUCAUCACUUUUUCUUCUAGGUAGCAGAAGGAAAGAUGCUAAUUUUACCAACACUAUGGACAUUCUGCCACGUUUUCUUGUCUGGGAAGAGCAUAUAUCUUCAGUCAACAAUCAUAAAAAAUUACUGUGUGAAGAAGUCCCUAGUGGACAGGGAGAGAUGCACAGUUUCGAUAAGACACAGAAUCGUAGCCUCCUGGAUACAAAGAUAAAUGGGAUCUUGGAGCCCAACAGCUUCAUUUACACCUUGCUGGUUUUCCUACCACCGUCUCCAUCCCACAUCACUCAGUAACCUCUGCUUUUUGAAGAAUCACUCAAUCCAUAUAUUCUACUCAAUUAAAAUUCUGGUAGCUGUUGUUUCUCUAGGAGACUGCCCUUCUUUCUAUAACAAGAUCAGUCCCUGGCUCGGUCUUUCUCUUUUCCUUGACUCUUGCCUUCAAUCUAGGGAGACAGAAUAGAUGGAAGGAAAGCAUUCACAGCCGCCUCGUUCCACCUCCUGGCCACUUACAACCUGUGCUAAGAGCUUAGAAUCCCUGGGUCCCUCUAGGACUAAGGUUGGAAUCAUACACUUCCUCCCUCCAGAAGCCUUUCCUGGUAUCACCCUAGUUGUGAGCAUGCACUAUUUCUUAAAUGAUCUGGUAUUUACAUAUAUUUACUCCUCCCAGGCAUCAGUACCCCUGGAUUAAGCCCAGUGACCGCUCAACGGGUGGGCCGGUCCAUCUGGGUAAACAGACACUGAGAGUGUUUUAGUGGGGAGGGCUGAGGGUUGUUUUUAUUGGAUCAGGGACAUCGAAGGCCAGACUAGGGUCAGAUUUCUCGACUGUUCUCCAGCCUGGCUCCAUGACUUGCAAAUAAUUAUUUCUUCAUGUGGCAAAGCAGAUCCUACAGUCCGCAGUGAGAACGUUAGCCUUUCCUUCCAUGAUUCCAGACAGCUUCAGGCUGAAUACUUCCCAAAGUAAAUCGGUGCUUUCCCUAACCUAAUGGGUGCAUUUCCCUUUUUUAACUGGUUCCAUUCAAGAUAUCUAACAUUUCAAAUCAACUUAUAUAUAUAUAUCCAUUUAUAUUUAAUAAUAGUGCAAUGAUAUAUUGCUAUAUCAAUAGUUAUAUUAAUGAGUUAACUAAUUAACAAUUUAAAAGUGAUGAUCAAAAUAAUAAAUAAUGCAUUUUGAUUAUCACUUUAAAUUAAUAGUAAUAAUAAUCAUAUCAUUGCUUUAAACACUAUUAACAUACUUAAUAAUUUGAGCUAAUAUUUAUAUAAUGCUCUAAGGUUUGCAAAAGGAUUGACUUGUUCACAAACACCUUGGGAGGUAGAUACAAUUAUUAUCCCCAUUUUAUAGAUGAUUUUACAGAGAUCAUGUGACUUGCCUAGGGUCACACAGUUGGUAGGUGUCCAAGGCAGAAUUUGAACUCAGUUCUUUCUUUGACUUCAGGUCCAUUUUAUCUGGUCUGUGAAAAGGGACACUGGCCCAGGCCUUGCCAAGGUGAACCCCAAGGCCUUGUAGUGGUACAUGGGGGAUUAAAGGACUCCCAUUCCUCUUGGGGACAGCUGUUUCUUAGGGAGUUUUUCCUGACGUGGACCUGAGAUUGGCUCUGCAACUUUCCAACCUUGACAACCCUGGGUCAAGACAACAGGAAGAAGAGUGGAAUGAGCUGCCCCAGGUCGCACAGCUCGUAGUUUUUUGAAGAAUUCAAACUCAAAUCUUCCUAACAUAAAGUCAAAGGUACCGUCCGCUACACCAGAGGCGUCAGGUGCAGCCAUUGCUGCCACACUCUAGUGUGCAGCUCCGAUCCAGAUUAAAACAGAAUUUGGAAAUAAUUGAUAAAUUAAAAUUUUGUCACUCAGUUGUUAUGGGCUCUUUGGGGCUCCAUUUGUGGUUUUCUUGGCAGUCUUCCUUCUCCAGCGUUUUACAGGUAAGGGAAGUGAGUCUCACAGCUGUUCCAGGCUGGAUUUGAACUCAGGAAGAGUCCAGGGGUGGGACUCAGGCCCUUCCGACUUGAAAGACUCGAUGCAAAGUUAAAUCUGUGGCGAGACAGUCGAGUGGAAACGCCCUGCUCUGUGUAACGUUUAUGGGCACCAGACGGAUGUCCCAGGAAAGGCUUCUUGCCUUUGGGUAAGUGAGACUUUGCUCCUCUCUCCGAGGAGGACCGCGACCCAUCUUUCCCAGAGCUGCCAGGUCGCUCUUUCUUUUAGCACGGUUCCGUUCCUCCAGCAGUCCGUCCACUCGUUGGUCACUGGAGGCGGCUCUCGCAUUCAGGACACAGUAAAGCUUUCUGGGCAGGGAUGGGGGGAGGAAUGCAGCGGGACACCCUCCCCAGAUGGUCUGACUCUCAACGUUCUGUGCCCCCUCCCCUGGUCCCGGCACCUGUAGGAAGUACACCGAACACAACCGAAGGGAGGCAGACGGCACAAAGCACGCAGGCUCCCAGGAGCCCCAGGAAUCAGCACACCAAUAAUGGUCUUUUAGUAGGUUCAGAACGCCGCCGGGGCCCAGGUUCCAAGUCUCCCAGGGAGCCUCGGGAGUGGGUCACCUGGGAUUUGGGGGCUUUAACCUUUGUCCUCCCCGCUCAGUGGGUCAUACUCAGCCUCAUUCAGAGCGGCUGCCACAGGGGUCAGAGUGGGGGAGACCCUUAGAACAUAGAACUCAGGGCCUGGGAGGGGCCCCGGGUGCAGCGGCCAGAAGUGGCCACAGAACGCCCCGGUGCGGCCCAAAUCACACUCCACAUAACUGGGAAAGCGCAACCACCAUCCCUGCUGCUCUUCAGUCGUGGCCCACCCUCCUGACCCUCUUUGGGGUUCUCUUAGCAAAGCUGCCGGUGGGCUCGCCUUCUCCAGCUUGUUCUGCAGAUGAGGAAACUAAGGCAACUGCUAGUGUUAGAGGCCAGACUUGCCCUCCAGGCAAUGUGCUGGGGAGACAGGGGAGACACCUGGCCGUCCCCAUAGCACAAUACAGGUGGUGUCAAUCUGUACUUCCCUAAGUUAGCAGGACACCCGCAGGGCUAAAGCACAGAACACCAAAGCUAGAACACUCACACAUGGGAGCUGAGGUCAGCGACUGUCACAAAAAGUAUUGUGACCCCAAGUAUAGAAAAGUGCCUCCUGCUUUCCAAAAGAAAAGGGAUCGGCCUCAGGGGUGCCCGUGCCCAUCUGCCCAGCAAGCCCAGGGCACCCUCCCCAUCCACCUUGCAGGACGCUCCCUCCACGUGUAGCCCUCGGGCUUACCUGGGGAGCUUUUGGGAGCGCUCAGGGUCAAAACUAUGUCCAUCUUGUAAGAAUAUGUUGUAACUGGGAAGAUGGUGGAUGAAUGACACACACGCCCUGGCCGGAGGGGGGGGUCUUUUUUAGCACACAAGGACCCAUCAGGGAGGGUCCCACAAAGCCCAGCAGAAAUGCUCCCAUGACAAUGGGGUCGUGUUUCUUGUUAUCUCAGUGGGGGACGGCCGGGGACGGAGGGAGAAAACACAACUUAAAGGAGAAAUGUUUUUCUCCUUUAAAAACUUUCAAAAAGUUUUCAAAAACUGCUCCACACUAAAGUCAUGUACGUGGGCCAGGGAAAGGGCAAAGCUCGGUGGCUGCCGUGGGCAUGAGGCUUCCCGAGGCUUAUCUCUAGUGGGCGAGAGGCCGUGCCCGCAGCAGGUGAGAUGGAGGCAGGGACCGAGAGGUCUGCGGAAGGAGCAGCCUGUGCGG
Molecule: long non-coding RNA, 11428 nt
Organism: Sarcophilus harrisii (Tasmanian devil)
Lineage: Eukaryota; Metazoa; Chordata; Mammalia; Dasyuromorphia; Dasyuridae
Source: Ensembl